This 397-nucleotide ribosomal RNA is filed under the name uncultured bacterium. RNAcentral's name for it is "bacterial SSU rRNA". It matches the Rfam family "Bacterial small subunit ribosomal RNA", at positions 28 to 419 of the family's 1533-position model. The record is from RNAcentral.
GAUGAACGCUAGCGGCAGGCUUAACACAUGCAAGUCGAGGGGCAGCAUGAAGGUUAGCAAUAACCUUUGAUGGCGACCGGCGCAAGGGUGCGUAACGCGUGAGCAACUUGCCCGUUUCAGGGGGAUAACCGGUGGAAACGCCGACUAAUACCCCAUGGCAUCAUCAGGAGGCAUCUCCUUAUGAUUAAAGAAUUUCGGAAACGGAUAGGCUCGCGUGACAUUAGCUAGACGGCGGGGUAACGGCCCACCGUGGCGACGAUGUCUAGGGGUUCUGAGAGGAAGGUCCCCANACUGGAACUGAGACACGGUCCAGACUCCUACGGGAGGCAGCAGUGAGGAAUAUUGGUCAAUGGUCUGACGACUGAACCAGCCAUGCCGCGUGAAGGUGACGGCCCUA